CAUCAAAAUGAGAAUCGCGGCAAUGAUUUAUGGACUUCUUGUCCUAAUGCUGAUGAUCGCCGUCAUACCAGCCGAUCCCGGAAGAUCAAGCCCUCGUGGUAAAUCCCGUAGCUAUAAUGGACCUAGCGGCUUUAGGAGUUCAAGGCAUUCAAGCAAAUCCAAAGGCCAUCGUGAGUGAAUUCAACCUCUAACAGCUCAAGGGAGAGGCUUGAGAACGGACGUGACUCACAGGAUAUACCGGUCGGGAAAAACAAUGCUGAUGCUAGUGUAAAAAUUUUACAAUUUUUUUAUACGUAAAUAUAAUUGUUUAAUACGCAGUACAUAGGGGUCUAACAAAAUUACAAAAAAUAUCGAUAACGUUACUGAAAUGCAGUUGCGUGUUUUAAUUGUUUAUUGAUUAUGUCUCGUUGAUAUUACUGGAUGUGUUUUUGCUCAAACUUUUUGAUAAAAUGCCUCACGGUAACUAAUAAAAUGUAAACAAUAUUUUUGUUUACUAUUUUUAUUGAAAAAUACACACAGUUGGGUUCACAUUGUAGGCUCUAACAUUCUGUAGAAAAUACCAGCAAAAACAGAAG
This is a long non-coding RNA of Priapulus caudatus, 575 nucleotides long. RefSeq lists it as uncharacterized. Lineage: Eukaryota; Metazoa; Priapulida; Priapulimorpha; Priapulimorphida; Priapulidae. The record is from RefSeq and is a predicted model, not a curated record. The transcript has 3 exons.